CCAUGCCGUAAACGGUGGGCGCUAGGUGUGGGUUUCCUUCCACGGGAUCCGUGCCGUAGCUAACGCAUUAAGCGCCCCGCCUGGGGAGUACGGCCGCAAGGCUAAAACUCAAAGGAAUUGACGGGGACCCGCACAAGCAGCGGAGCAUGUGGUUUAAUUCGAAGCAACGCGAAGAACCUUACCGGGACUUGAAAUCUUAUGGAAAGCGCAGGAGACUGUGCCCCUCUUCGGAGCCGUAAGACAGGUGGUGCAUGGUUGU
Molecule: ribosomal RNA, 259 nt
Filed under: uncultured bacterium
Lineage: Bacteria
Description: partial 16S ribosomal RNA
Rfam family: Bacterial small subunit ribosomal RNA
Source: RNAcentral